GGCCUCGUAGCUCAGUCAACUAGAGCGUUGGCUCUCCUAAAGCCAUCAUCUUACUGGCGUGGGUUCGAAUCUCACCGAAGCUG
RNAcentral lists this transfer RNA (83 nucleotides) under Schistocephalus solidus. It matches the Rfam family "tRNA". Rfam says of the family: Transfer RNA (tRNA) molecules are approximately 80 nucleotides in length. Their secondary structure includes four short double-helical elements and three loops (D, anti-codon, and T loops). The record is from Rfam by way of RNAcentral. Lineage: Eukaryota; Metazoa; Platyhelminthes; Cestoda; Diphyllobothriidea; Diphyllobothriidae.